UACAGAGGGGGCAAGCGUUAUUCGGAAUUAUUGGGCGUAAAGGGCGCGUAGGCGGCAUGGCAAGUGGAAGGUGAAAUCCCUCGGCUCAACUGAGGAACUGCCCUCCAAACUGCUUUGCUUGAGUCCGGGAGAGGUGAGUGGAAUUCCCAGUGUAGCGGUGAAAUGCGUAGAUAUUGGGAGGAACACUAGUGGCGAAGGCGGCUCACUGGACCGGAACUGACGCUGAGGCGCGAAAGCGUGGGGAGCAAACGGG
Molecule: ribosomal RNA, 253 nt
Filed under: uncultured bacterium
Lineage: Bacteria
Description: partial 16S ribosomal RNA
Rfam family: Bacterial small subunit ribosomal RNA
Source: RNAcentral